Long non-coding RNA from Cyprinus carpio (common carp), 2013 nucleotides. NCBI's taxonomy places the organism in Eukaryota, Metazoa, Chordata, Actinopteri, Cypriniformes, Cyprinidae. The record is from Ensembl.
GAAAAAAGGCGCACCUUCUUCCAAAGACGCGCUUUCUAUAUCAAAUGCGCUCUCGGGUUGAAGACAAUUAUGUUCUAUAAAUCUGAGCUCGGUUGUGAAGCACUAUUAGUCAGAUCAGAUGUCACUCUGAGCAGUGGGCCAGUGAGAGCUGUGGAAUUUGAUACCUCUGCGUCAUCAGCGGUGAAGGGUGGGGGCAGUGAGUGACCCCUUCCAUGUCCGCCGGGGAUGACUGCGGUGGACCCUGGGAUAUGUAGUUUUCGGCUGUUUGUAUACAAAGCUCGCACGCAGAAAAGCUUUCGCAUAUGUGUCUCGGAGAAUACCAAUUUAUAAUAAUCAUAUUACAAGUUAUGGAUGAUCAACGGCGCCAUGGAGAGGAAUGGACGCGCGUCUGGUGAGGCUAUAAGCGUGUUAGUUACUUUUUUUAUCUUUGAAUCUUUAUUUUGAAACGUGAAAGCACAGCUGAUAAACUGUUUAUGACAGAAAAGUACAGUACAUGAUGCAUUUCAGUAAAUAUACAGUAAAUACACAUGGAUUAUUACAGUGCUGUGUGGAUGAACAUAUAUUUGUUUCUUUGACACGCUGAAGGCCAUAUAGCAGCUCGCGACCAAACAGACAGAGAGGAUGCUGAAGAUGCAGAAGUGAUACAGGGAUGCCGAGCUUCCUGGUUGCACACAUCACACCGCUCAUGACGUCUUGUUUCUCCACUUGACUGAUUCCACAUGUGCUCCAGAAUGUGGUCACACAGAGGCAUUCCCAAAGCCUUUGCAGAAAAUGCCCAUUGGACACGUGAUCACUGCUCCUCUGGCUGGGAAUUAACUCUUAAGAAAGACAAAGUGAAAGAGCUUUGCUCACAGAGAGAUUGGCAGCUGUGUGGAAGAUUCCCUCUCCAGGAGGAACACUUCCUACCCACACAAUCAAAGAGCCAAAAUGAACAGCAGAUGACUCUAGAGGAGGUAAGCACAACCCCGUGAGCCAAGAAGACAACAUGCUGAUUUCCCAAGAUCCUGCUGCAGUACUUCACGCUGUGCUGCCCAACUCAGGAAGCAAUACACGAUAUCCGCGUGUAGUCGACAGCAAAUACCUUUGAUUUUACACUCUGCUGACAUGUAAGGCCUGCACGAGCAGGAUUGCAGCCUCUUAGUUUUACCCUGUGUGUUUUGGGAUCGGUUUCUUUCUAUAUUACAGUUCUAUUUCAGUGUUAAAGACAAUUGUUCUGUGUGUGCUCAGGGAAAUAGAGAUCUUCCCCUCCCACUCUUUGGUAUUUAACACAGAUCACCAACCACAGGAAUGGAUUUUCCCUCUUAGCAACAGCAUGAUUGCUCUCACGUUCAGAUGUUCGGUGCAAUAUUGUGCUUCAGUGAGUGGUGCUGGUGGGAAACAUGCAGGCCAAGGCAGAUAUUUUAGCUGCUUUCUAUUCCCCUCCAUUUACCAGAGCCCAUAAAUAUGACGUGCUGUAACCUUCCCACUAUGCCCUAUGCAGAUCAGUCAUGCUGCUUACAUGUUUUAUUCAUGAUGUACAGCCAUUGAUUUCGCCAAGCAUGAUCAAAUUUAACUCCGCUACUUUGAGGGCAUAAAAUGAUGAUGGGUCUGAUGCACCACAGGCCACAUGUAAACUUGAAAUAAUCAUAAUCAAAUUGUCUAUAUAUUAGUGUAAACCUGUAAAGUUAUGUGCAUUUAUUAUCCGUGCAAUCCUGAGGAGAACUGGAUUUAUCUUUAGUGAGAUGGUAAUUGUGUGACGUUUUCCACAGCUAGCAAUGAAAUACAUUGUGAAAUGUGGCAGGAUCAAAAGUGUUCCAUGUGGAACACGCUAACAUCUCUUCAUUUUUUUUCAGAUGUUACAAGGCUUACGCUGGCUGUAAAUAAGUCUCUGAGGUUUGGGAUGUGACAUGAUGGGGUUUGGGAAUGGAAAGGACCAUUUGAAUCUUGAUUUACUGGACUGUUGAGGCCUUUGAACUGGUAGAUGUACCACAUGAGUUUACUAGAAAAAUAAAUAAAAAUAAACACAAAUAAACA